CUCACACAACAGAUUUUAUCCUUAGACGAACAAAUAAGAAUCUUUAUGGAGACUUGAAGCGAGGGAUGCACAAUUUAAUCAAAAUAUUAUCAAAAUUGCAAUUUUCAAAUCGCAGAAAUUGCAUUUUAAAUGGAAUAUCGUGGUGCUGCAGAGACGUCCUGACCUACACGUCAUAUUUCUUUUCAAAAACUUACUUGAAACUCUCAAAGUUGAACCUGUUUAAACAGAAAACAUCCCAAAAAACUACAAACUUUUUGUGUUUUCAGCAUCCGAAGUCUAAAUUGCACGUUCACACCAAGCGUGAGUCGAACAUUUUGCUCACAAAGUCAAUGCAAAAAGAAGAAUAGACGCAAAUUUGCGACGGUUACUACUUUUAAUUUGCACCAUCUAGUCAUGCUGACAUUAGAAUGUCAUAACGUGUGUCAUGAAUAUACUGGAUGGAAUGAACUGGAUAGCUAACGUUGGCUAACUGUUAACAGGUUUCCUUUGUAAACGAGCCUCUCAUGCAGAGCGCUGACGAGUUUAACAUGAUGCGGCGUAUCCGUAAAUAAAGACAAUGACUGUCGGAGGAGAUUUAAAGUUUAGAUUCAGCGUCUUUCUUUAGUUCUUCUAGUCUCUCAACCAUCAAACACAACGGUGAGGAGAGGUCUGGUCGUGGUGCAACUGAGCUGAAAUAUUCAGAACAAUAUUCAACGCAUUUUGCGAUAAAAGCAACACAUUUGGCACAGAUGUAGGUUUAUGUGUUAUGAAAAGAUUUAGAUAUCGGGGCGCUAAAUACAGUAAGCGCUAAAUAUUCAAAGAUGUUGCAGAAAACUGAUUUUAAUAUUCUUGAUUUUUUGUUUUUGACCGGUAGCCAACCGUCGUUAACCGAUUUAUUAACCGACAAGAUUAGUGCCUUCAUACAACCUCCGGAAGCUCCAUGGCGUUAAAGGAAUUAGUGGUGUUAACUUUGACAGCCCUAGAUCUUAUUGAUCUUAUCGAUCUGUAUUAAGGCCAUUUCCUGUAUAGAAGCAUGUCAGCGCAGGUAUUUUCCCUGAUUAACGGGUCAAAAGCUGUUCCAACUGCUGCGCUUGUAUAACAUAUAAACCUACAUCUGUGCCAGAUGUGUCGCUUUUAUGGCAUUGUUAUGCUUUAACUGCUCCGCUGUCGUCGUUUUUACAUAUUUUAAUGCAGACAUAUUAUACCUUUUAAAGCAGCACAAUAAUCAGCAUUCAUCAUCGUUCCAGUCAACCAGGCUUUCAGUUAUCGUACUGAAUUAGUUGCAGUAAACGUGAUGGAUUCAGUCCAUAACACAUCUCGUCAAGCAAAGUGCACUGUGUGAAUAUAAAAGAGGGACUAUUGUUAUUUAAAGGGACUUAACGGGAGCAGUUUAACCAGUUUAACCAGUUUAAACCAGUUUAACCAGGUGUAGUAAUCCACACCUGGCUGUGAAUUAUCAGCACUGCUGGGAGUGACCUGAGAGUGACUCUGCAGGUUAUAUAGAAACGUUUAUUUAUUAAGAAUAAUUCAUAAUUGUUUACAUCUGAUGACGUCAUCUCAAUGUUCUUCUUCUUUGGUUUCACUUUCAUCGUCUUUUUAUCAGAAGAAAAGAGAAACUUUAUGCAUAUCUGGAGUUGCUUAGCAGCUUGUUUGGGUUUGUUGGUAGCAGCGUAGCGGUCAUGUUCCAGUCCCUGUGUGUGUGUGUGUGUGUGUGUGUGCAUGUGUGUGUGCGUGCAUGUGUGUGUGUGUGCGUGGUGGAGGAUGUUGGAUAAGAAGGAAAAUCCCGUCAGAGACUCGGAGGACUCGUCUGUGUGUUCAGGACUGGAUGGGAGAGAGACUGCAUGGUGUGUGUGUGUGUGUGUGUGUGUGUGUAUUGUAUGUAAAUAGUGUUGAUUUUGUACGGUACAAGUGUGUGUGACUUGUUUUGUACACAUGAUAAAAAGAUUAAAUGACACUUUUAUAAGAGCCUGCUAUUGGCUCACCGUCACACUAUACAGUGCAAUAAAGUGCUUUGAUUGGCUAAAACUCA
This is a long non-coding RNA of Sebastes umbrosus (honeycomb rockfish), 2008 nucleotides long. RefSeq lists it as uncharacterized. The transcript is spliced from 2 exons. NCBI's taxonomy places the organism in Eukaryota, Metazoa, Chordata, Actinopteri, Perciformes, Sebastidae. The record is from RefSeq and is a predicted model, not a curated record.